Molecule: ribosomal RNA, 274 nt
Filed under: uncultured bacterium
Lineage: Bacteria
Description: partial 16S ribosomal RNA
Rfam family: Bacterial small subunit ribosomal RNA
Source: RNAcentral
AUACGGAGGGUGCAAGCGUUACUCGGAAUCACUGGGCGUAAAGCGCGCGCAGGCGGUCUUUUAAGUUGGAUGUGAAAGCCUACAGCUCAACUGUAGAACUGCAUCCAAAACUAUUAGACUAGAGUCUGGGAGGGGAAGAUGGAAUUAGUUGUGUAGGGGUAAAAUCCGUAGAGGUAACUAGGAAUACCAAAAGCGAAGGCGAUCUUCUGGAACAGUACUGACGCUGAGGCGCGAAAGCGUGGGGAGCAAACAGGAUUAGAAACCCCUGUAGUCC